AUGGUAUCAACCAGGCAGAAAACCGUGGCCUCCGCAUCUCGUGCGGCAUCUCCAGCCACGGUCACCAGUGUGGCUACUCAGACGGAGGGCUCGGGGAAACACGCAGCCGUCCAGGUCCUGGGCUGCAGAGUGUGCCCCAGCCUUCUGUCGGCCUCCGACAGCAGUGGUGGGUAUGCCUGUGGGAGGUGUGCCCAGGUUGAAGAACUGCUCAGCCAGGUAGCGGUGCUCCGGGAGGAGGUGAACAGGCUCAGGAGCAUCAGGGAAUCAGAGAUGGAAAUUGACUGGUGGAGGUGCACUCUACCCUCUCUGAGGCAGGCUCACGAGCCUGCCACAGCACAGGCGUCUCCUGUUAUGCAGAAGACGGAGGUUCCCUCCUCCUGCCAGGCAGCGGGAGGAGACCUAGAUCAAGGGGGGGAAUGGAGGCAGGUGCCUAUUCGGGGUGGUAGGCGAGCCCUCUCUCUGCCCACCUCACCUUCUCAUCUACCCUUAAAUAAUCGAUACGAAGGACUAGAACAAGACAAUCUGAAUGACAAAGUAGAUAAAAACCCGUCCCAGUUGGAGGGGGCGCCUAAGACAAGGCGACCUACACAUCGCAUUGCCACAUCAUCCUUCAAAAAAGAAAGAAGGGCUAUUGUUAUGGGGGGCUCCCUUCUGAAAGGGACAGAGGGACCGAUAUGCCGACCGGACCCAACCCGCAGAGAAGUCUGUUGCCUCCCUGGGGCUCGGGUGAGAGACUUUGCCAAGAAAGUCAAGCGCCUGGUACGGCCCACUGACUACUACCCGCUACUGGUCUUUCAGGCUGGUAGCGAUGAAGUAGCAAUGAGAAGUCCGAAGGCGAUCAAAAGAGACUUUAGGGAUUUGGGGCGACUACUUAGAGGAUCAGGGGCGCAGGUUGUGUUUGCCUCUGUCCUUCCGAUAGGGGGGAUCGAAGCUGAAAGGCGUGCUGUUCACAUAAACUCGUGGCUUCGAGACUGGUGUGACCGGCAGAACUUUGGGUUCUUUGAUCACGGGAAGGUCUAUGCUACAUCGGGCCUGAUGGCACCGGAUGGGAUGCGCCUCUCUCAGAGAGGGGUAAGGAUCUUUGGUCAGGAGUUGGCAGGGCUGAUAGAUAGGGCUUUAAACUAG
This 1125-nucleotide long non-coding RNA is filed under the name Anas platyrhynchos (mallard). RNAcentral's name for it is "lncRNA (ENSAPLG00020002905.1)". The record is from RNAcentral. Lineage: Eukaryota; Metazoa; Chordata; Aves; Anseriformes; Anatidae.